This 497-nucleotide ribosomal RNA is filed under the name uncultured bacterium. Its description in RNAcentral is "partial 16S ribosomal RNA". It matches the Rfam family "Bacterial small subunit ribosomal RNA", at positions 28 to 507 of the family's 1533-position model. The record is from RNAcentral.
GAUGAACGCUGGCGGCGUGCCUAAUACAUGCAAGUCGAGCGAACAGACGAGGAGCUUGCUUCUCUGACGUUAGCGGCGGACGGGUGAGUAACACGUGGAUAACCUACCUAUAAGACUGGGAUAACUUCGGGAAACCGGAGCUAAUACCGGAUAAUAUAUUGAACCGCAUGGUUCAAUAGUGAAAGACGGUUUUGCUGUCACUUAUAGAUGGAUCCGCGCCGCAUUAGCUAGUUGGUAAGGUAACGGCUUACCAAGGCGACGAUGCGUAGCCGACCUGAGAGGGUGAUCGGCCACACUGGAACUGAGACACGGUCCAGACUCCUACGGGAGGCAGCAGUAGGGAAUCUUCCGCAAUGGGCGAAAGCCUGACGGAGCAACGCCGCGUGAGUGAUGAAGGUCUUCGGAUCGUAAAACUCUGUUAUUAGGGAAGAACAGAUGUGUAAGUAACUAUGCACGUCUUGACGGUACCUAAUCAGAAAGCCACGGCUAACUACGUG